GAGGUUUAGAUAGAUUUUCUCUUGUGGGUGGAGACCCCCUCCUCUCUCCUAAGCAAAGUCCAGCUCCAAGAUGGCAUUCUGGAGUCACAUGAGCCAGUCACAUGUCCAUGCAUGACAGUUUUUACAGGUAGCAGCCAAGCCACACUCCUGGGAGGC
Long non-coding RNA from Gopherus evgoodei (Goodes thornscrub tortoise), 156 nucleotides. RefSeq lists it as uncharacterized. The record is from RefSeq and is a predicted model, not a curated record. The transcript has 4 exons. Lineage: Eukaryota; Metazoa; Chordata; Testudines; Testudinidae.